Gigantopelta aegis is the source of this 5321-nucleotide RNA transcript. RefSeq lists it as uncharacterized. Lineage: Eukaryota; Metazoa; Mollusca; Gastropoda; Neomphalida; Peltospiridae. The transcript has 24 exons. The record is from RefSeq and is a predicted model, not a curated record.
UUAGCGUGGUUAGGCAAUGAUUAUACGUUAUGAGAACACUGAGUGAAUAUCAUGACUAGAUUGUAGCAGAAUAAAACUGUUAUCAAAAUGUCGUGUAAUUGGCACAAUGGAGAUUACUUUUCGGAGCUAAUACGCGGCGAUAAACGCUCGCACGCAGCACUGGAAAUGCUUGUGGAUGAUUUGCAUGGAGAUAAAGAAAGAACAAUAACCCAGUUUUUAUGUCAUUCGGGGUCAGAAGAUUUUCUUUGGGGUUUGAUCAAACUUCUUGGAAGUGAUAUACCAAGAAUGGCUGGCAACGCUGCAUACAUCAUAGGAACAGUGGCUGAAUCUGACUUGGGCUGUUACCGCAUUUUGUCACUGGCUAGGGAACAAACACGUGGCAACCAUAGUAUCUUGGAAGACUUGACCAGAAUGUUGAAGUUUGAUGAUUCAGAGAGUGUUAUGAAUGCUGCUGGAACCAUGGGGACCUUGGCGGAGAGCAAUGAGGGUCGAGAGUGGAUCCUGGCUGAGCAAUGUUUGGACAGAACACUCGAUCACGUCACUGCCCUAUUACACGCAGACAACAUGUGGACCGCCAGCAAUGCUGCUUUAGUGCUUGCCAGGCUCUGUAUAUCUGAAGAUGGGUGCAAUAAAGUUUUAGGACAUUACAAUUCUAGUUUCAUUCUUUCCAAGCUGGUCCAAGCACUGGGAUCUGAUGAAGCAGGGCGGGGAAUGAAUUCAGCAUUUGCAAUAGGUCGUCUUUGUGACAUGGAUGUUGGAAGGAAGAGAUUGUUAUUACUCCCGGAGUCAGAGAAAAUGAUUUCAGCUCUUGCUAAAAUGUUGAGUUGUGAAGAUACGGGUGCUAGUAAAAAUGCAUGUUUUGCUCUGAGUUGCCUGGCAACAAACAAAGAAGGUCACACGCGCCUUCUGAACAACAUUUAUGCUAAUGAUGUUAUGAAGAGGCUGGCUGAAUUACUUAGUGCUGAUGACAGUGAGACGGGUUGGUUUGCAGCCAUGACGUUACGGACCCUUGCCAGUCAACCAAAAGGCUGCCUUAAACUGAGAGAGAACCACAACAUAUACUUGGCAUUGAAGGCCAUUGAUAUGAAGCCAGACAUUAACCCUGAUCUCAAAGACGAAGUAACAAUGACCUUGGAAAUCCUAAAAAAACUUGAGAAACCUUCACCGCCAGUUAUUGAGGUAACUGGAGCCUAUUCUGUGAGAGUCGCCUGGGAUGAAGUAACUACAAAGAGUGGCUUCACCGUGCGAUACCAGCUAUUUGAAGCUGUUUCAGGAAGCUGUGUGUACACGGGCAAGGAAUGCUGCUGUGAUGUGGACAACUUGGCCCCGUUCACUCCGUACAGCUUCAAGCUGCGAGCGUUCACCGAGGGAGACGAGAGUCCGUUCAGUGAUUAUGUCAGCGUCACCACAGAAGAAGCAGAACCCAGUGCUCCAACAAAUGUGAAGAUUUUAGGUUCAACAGUAACACAGUUAAAAGUGGGAUGGGAUCCUCCAGAACAGAGCAAUGGCAUUUUAAAAGGAUAUUAUAUUUAUUAUGGUCGCAAUAUUGUGGAGUAUACCGCAGAUACCUCAUUCAUAAUCACAGGACUCAGUGCUAAUACUCAGUAUGAAAUUAUGGUUUGUGCAGCUACAGGCAAAGGUAAAGGUGACAAAGCUUCUGUUUUUGGAACCACUCCUGAACUUGGUGCUCAUGCCCCGUCGCGGCCACAGGUGCAUGUGUUGGGUCGUAAUGAGAUCCACGUCAGCUGGGGACCGCCCGAAGUGCCUCUCGGUCGCAUCACACGUUACGACGUCGUCAUGAACGGCAGGGUCGUAUAUUCAGGAACAGAUCUCAGCUUUACGACCCGACGACUCACUCCGGACACCGACUACACCUUUAUCAUUGUAGCUUUAACCAGUGAAGGCAAGUUUGAAAGCAAGUCCACCAAGAAAAGAACAUCCAAAGAUGAAUAUGACACCAGCAGGCCACCACUAUACCAGACACCGCCAGUCAGGAAGGAGUCUCUUGGGGAAGAAAUACCACAGAAACCAGCUCCGCUUAAGAAGAAGAAGUCAGAAACAAAGUUGUCACGAACACCUAGUGCAAAGACAGGACUAAAGUCUUCCGGACACGACUCAGGCUCAGUACGACCUAGUUCUGCUGAAAGUAUCCUCACCUCUGCCAAUGGGAUAACAGAAAAUGCCAGCUUAGUCAAAGAUUCUCAAAAAUGGCAUCCAAACAGCUCUUUACCAAACGGUGUUCAGAAAUCAAAAACAGCCAUAACCAAAUACAAUGUGCAAUGUGACAUUAAAAAAGAAAAUGUUAAUCCUCACUCCAAGUCAUCAAAAGACUCGACCCGCACCUCAUCCUCCAAGGAGCGAGCCAUGGUGAGGACAGAAAAAGUCACUAGUGCUUCCAAAGCAAUGUUCCCAAUUCCUGUCAGCUAUGUUUCUAUUCACGGAGGCGACGACAUGCCAGGCGAUGGAGAACCUGGAAAGACGAACUUUGAACUUAAGAAAUCUCUUGGAAAAACGGCUUCCAUGUACGACGCUACCACAGCAUGUAAUGGUCUGAAGCUGGAGAGGUCUAAGACGUCGUACAUUGGAGCGAAACCUUCAGGGAAGAGCAAGCCAUCAAGCCAGGUGGUUGAUGGGGAGAGUGACCACCUCUCCGACAUGUCGGGCGGGAACUCCUCGAGAACCGAUUCCCCCGAGAAGGUGGUCAACGUGUCCCCUCUGCCGAAACCGAUCAUUCCGAGUCAGCAUUAUCUUGACGGUGGAGGCCACAACUUAGAGGGAAUGCCGCACAUGUCGCGAUCCUUGCCCAGUCCACAGAUGGCGAAGGAGAUUAUUAACUAUCUGGAUGCCGAGUGCUUUGAUCUGGAUUCUCCUUACAAAUCAAAAAAAUUCAUUAGUGACCUUAGCUCAUCCACUGCCUAUCUAACCCUAUCUCACCGCGGUGCCAGUGACUAUCUCAUAGACCAGCAGGAAUUUAUACAGAGGACUAACAACUUUAUUAGCUACCACAGACCAGGUUUAAAAAAGGCUGUGCCACCAAAGAUGAAUUUCUCUGGGAGUACUAUUCACAGUACCAUGGUUCCGGAGAUUCCGGAAAACCGGUCUGCCAAGACUCACAACAAGUUCAUCCCCAUGCAGCUUCGAACCCAGCCUGGAAACCUUACGGGGCAGCUACAGCGGGUGACCACAUCACUCUUAGAACCACGAGGUUUUCCAGCCAGGAGGUUGGAGUCCCUCAGUCGGAGUCACACACAAAUGAUGAUGGAGGCACGACAGCAGCAGUCCAAUAAGAGACUUCGCCAGCAUUCACUGGGUAAUGCUGACCUUGACCUUAUUGGCAUCACAACCACAAAUCCACAUCUUCUAGGGAAAGACAAAUUGGUCCGAUCUCGAGGUAGUUCCCACCGGCGGCUCAACCAUUCAGCUCACUUGAGAGAACCAGAUUCUGCCAUCCUUGGUCAAUCAUGGGCCUCGUAACAUCUAGAAUUCUCAACCAAUCAACUCAUCUGAGAAAAACACUAUUCUAAAAAGUCUCAGUCAUUAAGUCUGAUGAAAAUCUAAUGGUCCUGCUGGAUCAGAUGACCUUUCAUUUGACCAAUCAAAACACAGCUUACAUACAUUUCACAGUUCUAAGCAAGCUGUGACAUUCAGGAUAAUUGUUCCUCAUAAAAGGUCAUCUAGACACAAAAGUGUUGGAUCAUAUCAGAUCUGCCAAUGAAGACAAACUUAGAAUCACAGUAAGAUCUGAAUGGUGCAUACAAACUUUUAGAUGUAGAUUCAAGACUCGUUUCUCUUUUGGCAGAUUACUCAAACUGCGCACUCUUUCCCUUUGGCUUUAAUCCUACAGGACAUUCGAAAUACCAUAGCACCAAAACCAACCCUCCGCCUCUUACCGACCUCUGUCGGGCUGCUGGUGUUCUCUUGCACCUGCCAGUGCAGGUGGUCCCCUCUCCCACCCACCCCAACCCUCUCCUGUCCUGGACAGAGGAGCCGGCAUAGGACGGCACCUGUGCCAUGACAGGCGUGCGCUAAAACAUCUUGCUCUGAAUGUGCACUUUAAACCCUAUACUUGAUCUGACCUGAUUCAAAAUUAAUAGUCAGAGACUUUAGUGUUAUGGGUUUAAUGUGAUGUCAUUAAAGAUUAAGUCUGGUCUCUAAAAUGUUUACAUGCACCAUGUCUGGUGCUUAUAAAACCUUCAGAUUGAGACUCAAGACAGAGAUCUUAACAUCAUGGCUAUGCCAUAUGAAUUGCAUAUGUGUGAUGUUAUGAAAGAUUUCAGUCUAGACCUAACAUUGUAUGAGUACUAGCCCAGAUUGUGAGUCAAUGCAUCUUAAAUUGUAGGUUUCAAAACACUAUGGUCUGUUGGCUUCACAUAUUAAAACAUCAUGGGCUGAAUUUACAAAGCUUUUUGUUGUUGUCUACAUGCGUGCAGCUACACAUACUUUUUAGGCUUAAGAAAAAUAGUCUUCAUAAAUUCAGGCCUGUAUGUAGAGUUUUAUCUUUGCCUUUGAUGUUGUCUCUUAAUAUGAUCUCAAAUUUUAUAUUAAUUUUACCUGUAGAUAUAUAAUGUUGCCUUCAAAAUGUUUGAUAUACAAGUACAUGUAUUUAAUUUGAUUCAUAAUGAAAUUUUGGAUAGAAUUUUAUAUCUUAAGAAGUUAUUUGAUUGCAGGUUAAAAUUUAUCAUUUGUAAAUGGGAGUGUAAUGUAACUGAAUGUAUAAAUGGUAUUAGUGUGCAGAUAGAGAAGUCUGUAUUUGCAUAAUAACUUGAUAUUAAAAUGUACGUUACCUUAUAUUACAAAGUAUUUAGUGUUUAAGAUUGGUAUUAGGUAUCUUUAAAAACUUACUGCAAUGAUCAUGUUUGUUCCAUUGUUAUGUCAUUGUUAAACUGAGUUUAAUCUUAAUUGUGUUAUGAGUUAUCCACCUAAUUGUUUUAAAUAUGCAUACAUUUAAAAAGAAAAUACUCCAUAGUGUAAGUAUCACACUAAAUCCCAAACAGAAUAUUCAUACCAUGAUUAUUAACUAUUUUAUUGUGCUUUUAUUAGUAAAACAUAUAGGUAAAAUACUGUUGCUAAGUUUUUUUAGUUUUUUUUAAUCUGCAACAAUUAGAUUAUGGGUAAAAAUUAAUACAGUAAUACUGGAAUAUGUUAUUCUUCACCAUUAAAUAAACUUAAUCUUAUUCAUUUCAUGUAAACCUGGUUUCCAUGAUUAUAUUCAAAUAAAAUUCAGUCAUGUGGUCAUUCAUAUACAGUGAAACAUCUCAAGACCAGACCCUCUGUAAACUGGAAUUCCCUCAAAACCGGAUGCUUUACAGAGUCCCUUUUUA